AUGGCGGCUCUGCUGCACGGACCCGCGCGAGCACGGCAUCCUGGACCGCCGCUUCCACCCGCGCCACUGGAUCAUGCUCAGGGAAACAGGAGAGGAGACUCGCCGCGUCGCCGGUGCUUGAACGUCUCCACCGGCUGCUCAAGAUGCGUGUGCCUGCCGGAGCUCGACGGCCACGACGUGUUCGGCCCCACCACGAAGGGCCUCCUCGUCCUCCUCAACAGAACCACCUGUGUGGUUCGCCUGUUGAACCCGGUCACCCGUCAGACGGCCGAUCUUCCGCCGGCCACCACUCUCAUGACCGAGACGGAACGUCUGCAGGGAGCCUCUUUCAGAAGAAAUUGCUUGCAGGUGUCGGGCGCUGGCCUAGCAGACGACUGCACCAUCGCGGUCCAUUUUAGAUCGGUCAGGACGCUUGCUGUCAUCAAGCCAGGCGAUCCGCACUGGAAGGUGGUUGACCGUGGAAAUUGGCUCUUGCCGGCCAUGUCUUUCGCCGGCCGCUUCUACUGCGCCACCUUUGAGGCUGUGAUGGUGGUCGAGACUAGUGCAGAUCAGCCACCACGGCUGGUCAUCGCCGCCAACCUGAAGAGCAGGCUGAUUUCCAGUAUGAUCACGGACACUUUCCAUCUGGUGGACAAUGGCGCGGAACUGAUACUUGUGGACCGGCAAUCCACCGGCAAUAUGCACAAGAGAAAAUACACCGUGUACCGAGUGGACAUGGAUUCGAGGAAGAUGGUGCGCAUCCGUGGGCUCGGUGGACGCGCGGUGUUUAUGGGCAAUGAACUUGCUCUUUCCGUCUCACCUUCGGUGUUCCCAUCCAUCGACGCCGAUGCAAUCUACUUGGGGUUCGAUGAGCGGAUUGAUGACAACAUUUUGUGGGAGAAUAGCCUGAUUCAUCUUGUGGGUAAAACCACUGACGCUGAGCCUCGUCAACUUGGAGGCAGCAUCAAUGGCAUGCCACUUUAUCAACCCCUGGGUCUUGAUAUUUAUCUAUCUUGGUGUGUUGCUAGUUUUCAUCACACCUUAAUGGACAUGGUUUGUAGCACCUUUCCUAACUGUGCAUUGCCCACACUGAACCCAAGGUCCAGAUAG
This 1089-nucleotide ribosomal RNA is filed under the name Triticum aestivum (bread wheat). RNAcentral's name for it is "partial small subunit ribosomal RNA". The record is from RNAcentral. Lineage: Eukaryota; Viridiplantae; Streptophyta; Magnoliopsida; Poales; Poaceae.